UCUCUCAAAUGCCAGGCCCCGGAGGAUCAGAAUCAAGUCCUAUAGCAGACUCCUGCCACCUUAUGCUUGUCACCAACCCUUCUCCUCCAAAUCUGAUACACCAGACUUUCUGAGAACCUGUGCUUUAAUGAGUAAACUCACACAGCUGCAACAAAUGCUGCCACCUCCUGGCAUCUUUUAAAAAGGCUGGAGUGCAGUGGCAUGAUCUCGGCUCACUGCAACCUCCGCCUCCCGGGUUCAAGUGAUUCUCCUGCCUCAGCCUCCCAAAUAGCUGUGAUUACAGGGAACCCGUUGUUGCUCAGACACCCGAUGUGGAAAUUUUUCUUCUCCCUCAGUUCAAAUGAGAUAAAGAUCCUCCUCUCCUCACAGUGAACAUGAGGUCACAGUGUCCAUGUAACUAACUCCUGGUUAAGAGGAUAUGGAUAGAAGGCACAUGUUCAACUUCUGGCUUCUGUCCUUGAAAAGUGUGAUGAUUCCAUCCUUUGCUGUCUUCCUUCCCGCUGACUGGAAUGUGGACUUGGUAGUGAGCUACCUUGGACUAUGUGGAUGAAGACAAAGAUAAAAGGAACCAAGGACUCUGAUGAUUCUGUAGAGAAGAGGAACCGUAGCUGCUCAAACGUUCAUGUGAAAGAAGAAUAAACUAUCAGAUUUAAGCCACUGCUAUUUUGGGUCUUUGUGAUAAACAGUGUUUACCAUAUCCUAAUUCACUAUUCCUUCCAUUUCUAGGUCAACCAUGUUGAAUUAAAUAUAGUGCUCUAACUUGCAA
This is a long non-coding RNA of Homo sapiens (human), 766 nucleotides long. RefSeq annotates it as NFKB1 antisense RNA 1. The record is from RefSeq and is marked validated. The transcript has 5 exons. Lineage: Eukaryota; Metazoa; Chordata; Mammalia; Primates; Hominidae.